AACAGCAAAUCGAGGAGUUUAACCAUUAGUUGGACAGCAGGGAGCAUAGUGCUUGAAGUAUUAGAAGAAAUCAUAGAAAGGCAUAUUCCGUGUCCGUGUACUUCUGCAAAAUCAAAUCUUGUCUAUAUUUUUCUAUUCUUCUUGAUACCGGCAAUAGCAUUCCUCUUAUUCGAUAAUGCAUAAUAGGAGAGUGAACAUGCUCCAAACUCAGCUGCGAACGGAAUCCCGCUACUUUUUUAACCGAAUAUGGUGUUUUCUGUAAUACUUCGCGGCAAGCACAUCUGAGAACUGAUGGAGACGAGAGAACAACCAUUCUUCAGAGUACAUCAGUCAUGACUGCUUCAAAUAAAGACUGAUCCAUCAUUGAGAUGCACUGUACUGUGAGAGAAAAUAUGACUAAAGGACCUCAAUGGAAAGGUAUAGGAACUCAAAGUAAACCUCAGAAAUAAAAUGCUAUGCUAUCAUUGUCAGGAUUUCACACAGGUGCACAGUUCUGAAAAGACUACUUACAAUAUCAAAACUGUAUGAAUUUUGAGUAUUCUGAAAUGGAAAAUCAAUUCAGAAACAAAAACAAAAGUCUGAAUGAGGAAAUUAUCAAUACAACUUCAAAAAAACUUAAGACUCAUUCUGAAUAUGAUCAGAGAAUCAUUACGAUGAUUACAAUUUCUUUAAAGACUAGACCAAACACAAAUAACAAAUGACUCUGCUUGAGCAUAAUAAGUCAUUUGAAUGAUAUUCUUAAAGUGGCUAAGGAAUAUUUUGACCAAUGACUGAAUGAGUUGUUGGCUUAAAAAAAUGAACUAGUUUGAAUUUGUUGUCUCAAAAAGAAUUUUAAAGAAUGAGUCUGUAAAAUGAAACUUUAAAAUGAAGGUAUGCAAGGAGCUGACGAAGGAGACUGUUCAUGGAAGUGUCUGAGAUAUUCUUUUGGGGUUUAAACAAUGAAGAAGCUGCAAAGAUGGAAGCAAAGUUCAGAAUGUGAAAUCUUAGCAACUUUUCAGAAACAGAACUGGACAAUCUACAUGUGGCUGGUAAUGAUGUCUCCUCUCUUGAAGGAGAUUUGAAUUAUAAAAUUCUCUGAAUUGUCUGAAAACCUCGCAAAAGUUUGAUUUUACAUCUUAAAGCAGACAGUAAUUCCUGGAUGAGAAUUUAACAGUUUGUGAAGAUCAAGUUGGACUUGGAAAUUUAAUUGGGCAAUGGGGGAAUUAUUAUGUGGGUUGCAUGUAGUAAGAUAAUGGUUAAAGUCUAUAACAUAGAUGAUGGAGCACGGGGACUGUAGUAGGGUGGACUGGUGGGAGAUGAUAUGGCGGGUGAAUGGACAUCUGUAGUAAUUUCGAAGUAUAACUUUUAUUGUUGAUGUUAUCAUUUUUAUGUUGAAGAUUCAAGAUUAAAUGUGAGAUGAAUGGAAAACCUGAUUAAAAACCUAGUAAACAGUAUAUUAUUGCAAGUCAUAAAA
This is a long non-coding RNA of Rhincodon typus (whale shark), 1453 nucleotides long. RefSeq lists it as uncharacterized. The transcript has 3 exons. The record is from RefSeq and is a predicted model, not a curated record. Lineage: Eukaryota; Metazoa; Chordata; Chondrichthyes; Orectolobiformes; Rhincodontidae.